This 65-nucleotide transfer RNA is filed under the name Baltia butleri. RNAcentral describes it as "tRNA-Arg". Lineage: Eukaryota; Metazoa; Arthropoda; Insecta; Lepidoptera; Pieridae. The record is from RNAcentral.
AAAUAAGAAGCAAUUCCCAUGCAUUUAAUUUCGACUUAAAAGAUAGAGUAUAAACUCCUUAUUUA